This is a long non-coding RNA of Ananas comosus (pineapple), 1179 nucleotides long. RefSeq lists it as uncharacterized. Lineage: Eukaryota; Viridiplantae; Streptophyta; Magnoliopsida; Poales; Bromeliaceae. The transcript has 2 exons. The record is from RefSeq and is a predicted model, not a curated record.
CUUUCGGGUGUUUGUCGGACCCUACCCUGACCUCCCCCUCUCCCUGUCCCCUCCCCUGCCUCUCUCUCCCUCUCUCUUUUUCUUCUCUCUCUUACUCCCGCGCCCCUCUCCCCGCCUCCUUCUCCUGUCGCCCCACAGGGCUCGCAGGCCCCCGCGCCCUCUCCCUAGUGCUCGUGUCCUGUUCGCGGGCGCGGGCGCAGGUGCGAGCGGGUGCGGGCGAGCGGGCUCGGACGCGGGCACGGGCGGCGCGCGGGAGGGAGCCGGGGCGCGAGCGGGUGCCCGGCGCGGGUCGGUCGCAGGGGGCAGCACGUGCGAGCGCGCCCGGGCCCCGGGCGCGGGUCGGACGCAGAGGGCAGCACGUGCGAGCGCGGCACGGGCGGGCAACUCUCCCUUCCCCCCUUCCCCCACCCCUCUCCGGAGAAACAUAAUGGUGAAGUAGCUGUGGUCUGAGCUUAUUAUCUGGAGGAUUAAUGCUUUAUCUUUCAUAGCUGAAUCGGUGGCGUCAGCGAUCAUCGAGGCGUGCCCGGCGGCUGGCGGCAUGUAGGAAAAUCCUCCUAAAUUUGGAGAAAUUCAGAAGCUGGCUUAUCAAAAACCUCGAAAUUACUACGUAAAUGGAUCGAUCGGGGAUCGAGCACUUCCUUCGAUCUCUUCUCCGCAUUCGUUUGGGGCCUCGAAGGGAGCUUCACACGUAGAAGCGUUUGCUCAUAUACGGAGAGGUCGUGUUGGAGAAGAAUGAAAUCGCACGAGGAGAGAGAAAGGAGGUUUUCCUUUGCUGUUUCGUUUUUGUUCUGUAAAUUUUGGGUUUAAUGGCAUUUUUUCUUGUGGGAGUUGCAUACUUUGCUUCUUAAUUUAGGGAAAGCUUGUUGGGUUUUGCUCUAGGGGUUUUGUGCAGUACGCGUUGCUGGUAAAGAUGGGGAGUUUAUAUGUGUUUUAUUUAAUGUUGUAGCAGUUGCAGCAAUGUGUGGGAGAUUGAGAAAGAUUUGAUGAUGGAGAAUGCAGAUGAAGCAGGGGAUGAUCAGGGAUCGGGUUGGUUUGAAGUGAAAAAGGUAUUAUUGUUUCUGAUUAAAUCUUUUACUUUUAUUUAACUCUUUUCCUUGGAGUUUUUCUUUUGCUUCCUACUUACAAAGUGUAGCAGAUUUUCUUAUUCUCUACUGAAAAAAACUGCAUGCUUUUACCUAA